Non-coding RNA from Hydra vulgaris (swiftwater hydra), 845 nucleotides. Lineage: Eukaryota; Metazoa; Cnidaria; Hydrozoa; Anthoathecata; Hydridae. The record is from RefSeq and is a predicted model, not a curated record.
AUAACCAACCUUUAAACAAAAAGAAUAUUCCGAAUUCUAUAAGUUCAUAUGUAUGACGAAAAGAUUCUUCACAAAAAAAAUUACUGUGAUAGGAGAAUGGGAACAAGAAACCCUAAAAUCUUAGCUAACACCCCCCCCCCCCGCCCUUAACCUAAACGUGAGGGCAAUGAGUUGAGUUUUUUUUUUUUUAUAUAAAUAUGAACUAGUUAUAUAUUCAUCGACAGAUUUCAAAUGUUAUGUUUAAAUUAUUCAGUGUAUUUGACCAUGUAAAGAAGAAUCCCCCCCUCCCUCUCCCUUUGCGGAAGGCACAAACAGUGGUUUAUUCCCUUGUGUUUGACACGAUCGAUUUAUACACAGGCGAGCGAAAAAAAGUGACCCUAUAAUUGAGCAGGAGCAGUUAUUUAAUUUGUUGGGAAUGACGUAGAGAAUGACGUAUUCUUACAUAUUUGUUUAUUUUAAGUGAUUUAUUUUUAUGAGCUUUUUUAUAUAAGAUAACAUAUAUCUAUAAAUAUCAUUUAAAACUGUCAUAUUUUAGUUUAUAAUUGAUAAAUACACAUAUAGAAGAAUUCAGUUUACGUUUAAGUUUCUGUGGACAAGUGUUAAAAGUUUUGUAACAUUUUUAUGAAAACAAAAUGAAAUCUGGCAAAAGAGGACCACAAGUGAAUAAUAAGCAAAAAGAAUUGAUUGUGAGACUCCGAGGUCUAAAUAUUUAGAGGUUUGACGUUCAACGCCAUCUCUAGCCCAACAAGCGACAUUGGUACGGAAGGAGGCGUGAACUUCCUGUUUAAUGCUCUCCCGCGGUGCUCUAUGAUAAGACUGUAAGGACUUCUGGGAGUACCUAAAAA